AUUGGACGCUGGCGGCAGGCCUAACACAUGCAAGUCGAGCGGAUGAAGGGAGCUUGCUCCUGGAUUCAGCGGCGGACGGGUGAGUAAUGCCUAGGAAUCUGCCUGGUAGUGGGGGAUAACGUCCGGAAACGGGCGCUAAUACCGCAUACGUCCUGAGGGAGAAAGUGGGGGAUCUUCGGACCUCACGCUAUCAGAUGAGCCUAGGUCGGAUUAGCUAGUUGGUGGGGUAAAGGCCUACCAAGGCGACGAUCCGUAGCUGGUCUGAGAGGAUGAUCAGUCACACUGGAACUGAGACACGGUCCAGACUCCUACGGGAGGCAGCAGUGGGGAAUAUUGGACAAUGGGCGAAAGCCUGAUCCAGCCAUGCCGCGUGUGUGAAGAAGGUCUUCGGAUUGUAAAGCACUUUAAGUUGGGAGGAAGGGCAGUAAGUUAAUACCUUGCUGUUUUGACGUUACCAACAGAAUAAGCACCGGCUAACUUCGUG
This 484-nucleotide ribosomal RNA is filed under the name uncultured bacterium. RNAcentral describes it as "partial 16S ribosomal RNA". It matches the Rfam family "Bacterial small subunit ribosomal RNA", at positions 30 to 507 of the family's 1533-position model. The record is from RNAcentral.